This 406-nucleotide ribosomal RNA is filed under the name uncultured bacterium. Its description in RNAcentral is "partial 16S ribosomal RNA". It matches the Rfam family "Bacterial small subunit ribosomal RNA", at positions 29 to 526 of the family's 1533-position model. The record is from RNAcentral.
AUUGAACGCUGGCGGCAGGCCUAACACAUGCAAGUCGAACGAGUGGCGGACGGGUGCGUAAUGUCUGGGAAACUGCCUGAUGGAGGGGGAUAACUACUGGAAACGGUAGCUAAUACCGCAUACCAUCAGAUGUGCCCAGAUGGGAUUAGCUAGUAGGUGGGGUAACGGCUCACCUAGUCGACGAUCCCUAGCUGGUCUGAGAGGAUGACAAGCCACACGGGAAAUGCGACAUGGUCAAGACUACUAGGGGAGGCAGCAGUGGGGAAGAUUGCAAAAUGGGCGCAAGCCUGAUGCAGCCAUGCCGCGUGUAGGAAGAAGGCCUGCGGGUUGUAAAGUACUGUCAGCGGGGAGGCGUUACCCGCAGAAGAAGCACCGGCUAACUCCGUGCCAGCAGCGGCGGUAAUUC